Molecule: ribosomal RNA, 757 nt
Filed under: eukaryotic picoplankton environmental sample
Lineage: Eukaryota
Description: bacterial SSU rRNA
Rfam family: Eukaryotic small subunit ribosomal RNA
Source: RNAcentral
CAUGUGAAAGUAUAAGCUUUUAAACGGCGAAACUGCGAAUGGCUCAUUAAAACAGUUAUGGUUUACUUGAUGAUUGCCUCUAAGGUUGUUGGAUAACCGUAGUAAUUCUAGUGCUAAUACAUGUCAAAAAGCCCGACUUCUCGGAAGGGUGAUGUUUAUUAGAUUUAAAACCUUGUCCUGAUUUAUCAGGAAUCUAUGGUGAGACAUAAUAACCUUUUGGAUCGUUCUCAGAACGAUGGAUCAAACAAGUUUCUGACCUAUCAGCUUUGACGGUAGGGUAUUGGCCUACCGUGGCAUUGACGGGUAACGGAGGAUUAGGGUUCGAUUCCGGAGAGGGAGCCUGAGAAACGGCUACCACAUCUAAGGAAGGCAGCAGGCGCGCAAAUUACCCAAUCCUGACAAAGGGGGGUAGUGACAAGAAAUAACAGUAUAGGGCAAUUUGUCUUGUAAUCGGAAUGAGUAGAAUUUAAAACUCUCUACAAGUAUCAAUUGGAGGGCAAGUCUGGUGCCAGCAGCCGCGGUAAUUCCAGCUCCAAUAGCGUAUAUUAAAGUUGUUGCGGUUAAAAAGCUCGUAGUUGGAUUUCAGUAGUGUUACAUUUUGGCCCUUUCUUAAUUUAUUAAAGAGUUGGUGUCUGAUUUGGUGCAUCAUACGAGGCGCUGCUUUGGCAGUUGCUGGGGAGGUGUUAAGAACGCUAUUUACUUCUUUACCUUUUCUGAUCUUAAUUGAUUCGGUUUUGGAAUGGAAGAUUACUUUUGA